UACGAGGGGGGCAAGUGUUGUUCGGAAUCGCUGGGUGUAAAGGGUGCGCAGGCGGGCUUGUGCGUCAGAGGUUAAAUCUCACGGCUCAACCGUGAAACUGCCUUUGAUACGGCAAGUCUUGAGUGUGGGAGAGGAUGGUAGAAUUCCUGGUGUAGCGGUGAAAUGCGUAGAUAUCAGGAGGAAUACCAGUGGCGAAGGCGGCCAUCUGGCCCAUAACUGACGCUCAGGCACGAAAGCGUGGGUAGCAAACAGG
Molecule: ribosomal RNA, 253 nt
Filed under: uncultured bacterium
Lineage: Bacteria
Description: partial 16S ribosomal RNA
Rfam family: Bacterial small subunit ribosomal RNA
Source: RNAcentral